GAUGAAGAACGUAGCGAAAUGCGAUAAGUAGUGUGAAUUGCAGAAUUCAGUGAAUCAUCGAAUCUUUGAACGCACAUUGCGCCCUGUGGUAUUCCGCAGGGCAUGCCUGUUCGAGCGUCAUUUCAACCCUCAAGCCUCGCUUGGUGUUGGGCCCUGCCCGCCGCGGCCGGCCCUAAAGAUAGUGGCGGCGCCGCCUGGCCCUCAGCGUAGUACAGCUCUCGCUCCAGGGUCCGGCGGCAGCCUGCCAGAACCCCCCAACUCUGUGGUUGACCUCGGAUCAGGUAGGGAUACCCGCUGAACUUAAGCAUAUCAAUAAGCGGAGGA
RNAcentral lists this unclassified non-coding RNA (324 nucleotides) under soil metagenome. RNAcentral describes it as "partial contains 5.8S ribosomal RNA, internal transcribed spacer 2, and large subunit ribosomal RNA". The stretch from base 1 to 120 matches the Rfam family "5.8S ribosomal RNA", at positions 35 to 154 of the family's 154-position model. The record is from RNAcentral.